AGAGGGGCUCGCGCCUCCCGCCGGCGGGGCGCCCUCACAGCCCCCGGCCGCCAUUUACAGUGCGGGGUGUGUGGGGGGUGGGUGUUGGGAGGGGAAGCAGCGUUGCCUUGACUCACUGGAUCCUUGCACUUUCCAAAAAAAAAAAGAAAAAAAAAAGGAUUUUGAAAUUCAGACUCUUGGUUCCAUUCCCCAAAAUGUAUUAAAUCUUUCUCUUGAGCCCAGUGGUCCAGAAACAUCAUGUGUCUAUGCACUCCAUUCCUCUUACUCUCACUACCAAAACCAGGAACUUCCGUCAGGAAUCUGCCUGGAAACAGCAAGACCGGGCUUGUUACCAAAUGUGGCAUGGCUUUCAAGACUCACUCUUUUUCCUGUAGCUUCUCAGUGUACAUGGAAGAUUUUGAAGUUGUGGCUGAUAGACCCUCUGCCCAACAGGAUAAGGUAGCAUACGUGAUAACAACAGUAGAUCUUGCACACGUAAAGUCUUUGUACUCCGCCUCUAGGAAUGAAUUGAACCCGUCCGUCUCCAAUUACAGAAUUCAAGUGUCAGAGGUUUGCUGCUAAAGACUUGAUCAGGAUUUCUUUGGAAAACGUGGCAGAAACCUCCAGCAGGUUCCCAAAACUUGAAUGUCUCAGCCGAUUAGGCUGGGAUGAGACUCUCUUGUAGAAGCUGUUCUGCUCUGCGUGUGGGCUCAUUGAAUGGCAUCAGAAACCAGCCUGCUAUGGUUUCCUGUGGGCAUGCAAGUGAUAAAACAAGAACUGUUCUGAUACUGUUAUUUUCAUCCUAAUUUAUGCUCUCCGUACCCUCAACAAUUCCUGAAGUUUUCAUUUUGAGAGAGGAAUCUGUACACAGUGGUGGUCAUUGAUAUAUAGAAAAAAUAAACCUUGUUAACUGAUAUAUUACUACUACUAU
Molecule: long non-coding RNA, 910 nt
Filed under: Struthio camelus australis
Lineage: Eukaryota; Metazoa; Chordata; Aves; Struthioniformes; Struthionidae
Description: lncRNA (ENSSCUG00000007437.1)
Source: RNAcentral